CAGCGCCACAAGUGGGGAUCCUGUUUAUUUGGCCUAAAGCGUCCGUAGCUGGUUAUGUAAAUCUUUUGUGAAAUUGUUUCACUUAAUGAAACAGCGUGCAGGAGAGACUGCUUAACUCGGGACCGGGAGGAGUCAGAGGUAUGCUGUGGGGAGCGGUAAAAUGCUAUAAUCCUCGGUAGACCACCUGUGGCGAAGGCGUCUGACUAGAACGGGUUCGACAGUGAGGGACGAAAGCCAGGGGAGCAAACCGGAUUAGAUACCCGAGUAGUCC
RNAcentral lists this ribosomal RNA (271 nucleotides) under uncultured archaeon. Its description in RNAcentral is "partial 16S ribosomal RNA". It matches the Rfam family "Archaeal small subunit ribosomal RNA", at positions 477 to 747 of the family's 1478-position model. The record is from RNAcentral.